Molecule: long non-coding RNA, 589 nt
Organism: Ochotona princeps (American pika)
Lineage: Eukaryota; Metazoa; Chordata; Mammalia; Lagomorpha; Ochotonidae
Exons: 3
Source: RefSeq, a predicted model, not a curated record
CACAUCCCAGCCGGUGCCAAAAGCCAAGCGCAUCACGCGCGCUCGCGAGGCCCCAACCCGCCCCCUCAAACCAGAGCAGAGAAAGAGGGAGCCUCAUCAUGAAUAGCGCUGGCGGCAAGCCUUCCCUUUAUCUGGCUUUCAUUAGAGCCCGGGCGCGCCUCUUUUGUGGGAGAGACUUGAGGGAGCCGAGGCAGUUUCCCAGCCGCUGUGAUGUUGCUAAAGAUUAAAAAGGAGCUUUGAAGCUGUACCAGCUCUCUCUGCGCCCCCUCGGUCCGGGACCUCAGAAAGAACCACGCCAUCUGGCAAACCUGACAAAAAGACAAAAUCAAGUGAUUGAAACACUCUCUUCAAAGGCACAACGGCAGAUUUGUUGAUUUGGGCGUUAUCUUUCAUGCGAGGCCCUCAGAAGUCACCAGAACACCUAGACCUGGACGAGUUCCGGGAGAGCCCAGCUGCGCUCCAUCAGUCACAGCGAAAUAAAGAACUCGCAGCGUCCGAGCUAUGAUCAGCCACCAAAAAGCUCCCAAAGACCUCCGUGCUCCCACCCAGCGCCAUGUCCUGCCUGCCUGUCCUCAAACCCCAGGCCAAG